Gossypium arboreum is the source of this 2153-nucleotide long non-coding RNA. RefSeq lists it as uncharacterized. NCBI's taxonomy places the organism in Eukaryota, Viridiplantae, Streptophyta, Magnoliopsida, Malvales, Malvaceae. The transcript has 3 exons. The record is from RefSeq and is a predicted model, not a curated record.
UCUUUAUAUACGCAUGUUUUCUCACACUUCUCAUCUUCAUCUUUAAGCCUAGAUACCUUAAUUUCCUAAUUUCCUUCACUUCCAACUUUAAUGUCUUUCUUCUGAAAUGAUAACCAAGCUCUUUAAGCUCCGUUUGUUUGCAAGGAUUUGAUUUUCCGGAAAACAUUUUCCUGCUUUUACGGUGUUUGGUUGCAAGAAAGCAUUUUACACUUGGAAAAUAUUUUCCAAGACACGGGUAAUAUCUCAUUCGUUUUAAGGAAAAUGUCUUACGGAUUUUUUUCCUGUAAGACAUUUUCCAUCUCCUUCUUCAUCUAGGUAAAAUUGCUAAUCCUUCUUCCAUUCUUCAUCUUCUUAUUAUUUCUUCUCUUUUUCCUUAGUCCUUCCCAUAUUACAAACGUUAUAUUCGAGGUAAACCUUCGAUUUCACUGUAAAUUUUAUCCUUUUCUUUUUCUUGAAAAAAAUUGAAUCCAUGGGUUUUCUGGUAGAAAUCAAAAUGGUGUAGAGCUCUUGCCGUUACUGAGAUAAUUAGUAGGAAAAAGAUCAGAUAUUUCCCAUUUUUCCUGUCUAAUAUUUUUCUUAAACAAUAUCAAAUCAUUUUGCUUGGUUUUCUCUUUGUAUAAAGAUGGAAUUACUAAUUGAACAAAACUGUGAACUUCUAGUUCAAUUCAUUAUUGGAAUUUGAAAAUUAUCCAGGAUUAUGUAUAUAAAGCUUUUACAUUUUAUUAAUUGUUUGAAGUUGGAAUUUUUUCGUUUCAAAUUAGCUGGAUUUGAAUUUAUAAUUUACAAAAAUAUCUUUUUUGUGCCAGUAUUAGUCACUCUUAGCUUGGUUUCAUUAUCUUCAUUGUUGGUACGAAGUCACUGUUGGCUUUUGUAUUUAAUUUGUUUGUCUACUUCCCACUAAAACCCAAGCUUUUUCUGGCGUCUAUUGCAGGUUUUACUGACGCUGCUGUUUCGUUUCCAUUCCUCUUCGCAGGGUCUUAGCUUAAUUUUUUUUAAUUAAGCAGCGUUGGUUUGAGUUUUAUGUCUUUCUUUGUUUCUUUAUUCUUAAUUUUUUUGAGGGGUUUGGGAUUAAAAUAUGAAAAUGAUAAUCUAAAUGAUGAAAAUGAUAAUUAUUUUUAACUCAAGAUGAGGGUAAAGUUAGAUAUAUGAAGAGGCAAAUCAUUUCAAAAUGAUGCAUUAUUUGGAAGUGGAAAGGGAUAUGCUUAAAAAUGAUACUUAGAGCAUAAAUUUCUCGCCAUAGGUUGAUUUAACAAUGCCCAAUUUGCACUACAUAUAACAACAUUUAUUUUUGUUUUUUGUUAAUCUAUAGUCCAACCCUGUUUUGGAAGCAUUUGGUAAUGCUAAGACUGUUAGGAACAAUAAUCAAGGUGAGUAUAUUUUGUUUUAACAAGUUUUACACCCUGCAUGUAGUAGAUUCUAUGUUAUAAUCGUUUUUUUUACCUUUACAUGCAUGUUUUGAAUGAUGUAAUCGCUUUGGUAAGUUUGUGGAGAUUCAAUUUGACUGGAGGGGAAGGAUUUCAGAAGCUGCCAUCAGGACUUAUUUAUUAGAAAGAUCACGUGUUUGUCAAGUGUCUAAUCCUGAGAGAAAUUAUCAUUGUUUCUACAUGCUUUGUGCAACACCACCAGAACUUAUUGGAGAGGAAGAAUCAACCAAAACAAGUUAGGUCUGCUUCCACAACUAAGCAUUCCACAAGUAUGAAAACUUGAAGGUGGUCUGUCAAUGGGUUAGGCCUCUACACAAAUAUGAAAACUGGAGAGCAGACAUUCUAUUUUGGAUUGAGAUCAAAUACAACACAGUCAGGUCUGACAUCAACUGCAAGCUCUUUAGUGAAGUUGAAAUCACCAAAUAAGAAACGCCAAAGUAGUGGAGAUCUUAUAAUCACACAAGAAUCAGUUGCAAAUUAGAAGCAAGCAAAGAGCUUUGGCAUUUUGUUAGUUUGAGCUUUGGCAUUUUGUUAGUUUGAUAUUGGAUAUUGGAUUUGGUUGGUAUUAGUACAGAGUUUGUGCUGUAUAACCACUGUUUUGUUUUUGGUAAAGGCAAUAUUUUGGUGUUGGUUGAUAUUGCUAUAGGCACUUUAUUAUUGUUGGAUUCUUUUUGCUUGUGCAAAUGUUGGAUAGGUUGAUAAAGGCCUACAAUAUUUCCACUCAACAAA